RNAcentral lists this transfer RNA (73 nucleotides) under bacterium. RNAcentral's name for it is "tRNA-Val". It matches the Rfam family "tRNA". From Rfam's summary of the family: Transfer RNA (tRNA) molecules are approximately 80 nucleotides in length. Their secondary structure includes four short double-helical elements and three loops (D, anti-codon, and T loops). The record is from RNAcentral.
GGGCGGCUAACUCAGCGGUUAGAGUGCCAUCCUCACACGGUGGAAGUCACAGGUUCGAAUCCUGUGCCGCCCA